CCUACGGGUGACAGCAGUGGGGGAUAUUGCACAAUGGGGGGAACCCUGAUGCAGCGACGCCGCGAGAGCGAUGGAGGACUUCGGGAGGGAAAGCUCUGUCAGCAGGGAAGAAAAUGACGGUACCUGACCAAGAAGCCCCGGCCAAAUCCGUGCCAGCAGCCGCGGUAAUACGGAUGGGGCAAGCGUUAUCCGGAUUUACUGGGUGUAAAGGGAGCGUAGGGGGGAGGGCAAGCCUGAUGUGAAAGCCCGGGGCUCAACCCCGGGACUGCCUUGGGAACUGCCCUGCUGGAUUGCCGGAGGGGCAGGCGGAAUUCCUCGUGUAGCGGUGAAAUGCGUAGAUAUUAGG
RNAcentral lists this ribosomal RNA (346 nucleotides) under uncultured bacterium. RNAcentral's name for it is "partial 16S ribosomal RNA". It matches the Rfam family "Bacterial small subunit ribosomal RNA", at positions 338 to 701 of the family's 1533-position model. The record is from RNAcentral.